GGGGGUUUAGUUCCAGUAUAUGAUCGUAUAUUGCGUAAGCCUUCCACAGCACCAAUGUAUGAUUAUAUGCUGUAAUUAAAUCCCCAU
Pelobates cultripes (western spadefoot toad) is the source of this 87-nucleotide non-coding RNA. The record is from the annotation of a GenBank genome assembly. Lineage: Eukaryota; Metazoa; Chordata; Amphibia; Anura; Pelobatidae.